Molecule: non-coding RNA, 72 nt
Organism: Dipodomys ordii (Ord's kangaroo rat)
Lineage: Eukaryota; Metazoa; Chordata; Mammalia; Rodentia; Heteromyidae
Source: Rfam
GGGAAGGUGGCUCAGUGGUAGAGUGCUUGCCUCAUAUGCAUGAGGCCCUGGGUUCAAUUCCUCAACAUCACA